UCCCGAUCCAGCCACAAAUUUUCUCCGUGUAUGUCUAUUUGAGACUGAGUUGGAAAAUUACGGUAUCUUCAUAGUGACAAACUAAUGAAAAUAUUGAUCAAAUUCGACUGGUCAAGGACUGUUAAUAUAAAUAAAUUUGAAACAUUGGUCAUUGUAAUGAUUGGUUUCAUGUUAUACUAAGCUUGUGUUUCAAGACAAGGCUGUCUUUGUUGGUGAUGAUACUGAUGUAUAUAUUUAGAAACAAGUAAUGCUUUGAUUUUGAUUACAGGUGUGGUCUUUAAAAAAAUUAAUGCAUGGCAAGGUUGAUAGUGAGACUAAUAAAUUCUUUGAGCAGAAUUCAGCUAGACACAAAAAAAAAAAGACAAUCACCACAGCCUUCCAAGAAGAUGGACUGCCUCACAAUAGUUUCCUUGAGGACUGUCUUGAAAUAUCCAGAGUUUAAGAUUCAAGAAACGGACUCUAUCUGGAAAAGGAAAACAAUAUCAAAGCUCCUCUGUGAGAAGUUGGCCAAGGAAAGCAUUCAGAAGAAAAUGGAGAUUCAUUGUUUUUACCAGAUCCAGCAGAUCACAGAAAGCAUCUAGUAGGGGAGGUCUACAGAUCGAAGCAUGCCAAACGUGUAAAGAACAAGUUUCCAGGAUUAAAGCAGCCAGUAGAUGAGACUAUCAUAUCAAAAAUACAUUUACUUGUUCACGAGGGCACACAAAGCGUUGAUGAAACAAAAAGACAUUUCCGUCUGUUUGUAAAGGAUACUAUUUCACCAGGGAACACCAUCUCAGAAUUUAACAGAUGCUUUUACCCCGCCAAUAAGGAUGUAAGAAAUCACAUUUACAGGGCACCGAGAUUUUGCCAGGUAGUUUAGAACUGUGUGCAUUGGUUUUGGAAGAAUUUGGGCUGUUUAGGCUAAAAUCUAUUAUGAUUGGACAGAAUAUGAACACACACAUCCAAUACUUCAAAGAUAUUAUGUUUGUGGAGGCAGAGAUUUUGAUUGCAUCCACUGUUUAGAAUACAUCCUUAAGGGAAGCAGACUGCCGCCUUUACCCAAUGAUAUAAUGAUUAAUCAUAACUAUAUCUGUUUUGUACCAAAUAGAAAGAGCAUUGAUUCAGGUCAUUUUCAAAUCCACUGGCAUACAUUGUACUAUACAUGCAACCUUUUCAAACUUUACAUUUAAGAUUUUAUAAAGGAAAUAUCUUAAUGUUUCACAUGUUUACCUUUCACUGUGCUAUGUAAUUCAUUAUACCUGCCAUUAUGCCAGUCUUCCUGAACAUAAUUUGUUUUCUGCAAUUCCAUUGGCCAAGAGGCUUAAUCCUGGGUUAUCAGAUUGAGCAUUUAUAUUUAGUAUCCCAUUGAUUUUGUCAGCCGUAUAUAAAGAGGUGACUCAGAUUUACUCACUCUGCUAGGUUAAAGAACUCUAAGGUUUAUACUUUUCACAUGAAUUUCGUGUUCGCCUCUUAUCUUUUACAUAGAGUAGGAAAUGAACAUAACAUUGAGUUAGGGAACUAUUUAGAUUUUACAUUAUAAUAUGUAAAUACCUUAGCAGAGUCAAUUUACUUGGUUCAGGGUAGUAUCAGAUAUUACUUUUUCAGAGUUUAAGUGUUUAGACUAUCUCAAUGUUUCUAUAGUUAGCCUUGUCCUAUGUUACUUUUAGAUGUAUGGAAGCCUUUUAGUGUUAUAACACUAUAUUUAUGCCCCCAUUCAAAGAAGAGGGGCAUAUUGGUUUGCACCUGUUGGUCGGUCGGUAGACCACAUGUUGUCCGCUUAAUAUCUUAAGAACCAUUCACUUGAUCGUAAUAUAUUUCAUAUGUGGGUUGGUUAUGAAAAGAAGAGGACCCCAAUUGUUUUUCAGGUCGAAAUGUCAAGGGUCAAUCUACUCUGGACAUAGGAAGACACUGCCUGCUCAAUAUCUUGAGAACCCUUUGCUUGACAGACAUCAAACUUGGUACACUGGUACAUCUCAAGGAGUAGAUUUGAGGUCAUAUGGUCAAAAGUCAAGGGGUAAACUGGACAUAGUAAUAUAAGUUGUCUCUUAUGUUUUAAGAAUUAUUUGCUUGAUUGACACCAAACCUGGUACAGCAUAAGGAGUAGAUGACCCCUAUUGAUUUUUAGGUCACUUGGUCAAUCCACUCCUGACAUAGGAAGAUAUUGUUUGCUCAAUAUUUCGAAUUGAUGAUACUACUAUCAAUCAAAUUAUGCAUGUGUAUAACCCUUUUCAAUUUUGCACCAUGGGGGCUUAUAUGUUUUACAAACACCUCAUGUUUUAUAGUUUGUGAAAGCUUGUUAGGGUCAUAACUUUAGAUUUUCUUAUUAUGGUACUUGCCCGUCAGAGACUGGACAUAUUAUGGUAUGGUGUUGUCUGUCCGGACCUUGUAAGAUGGGAUACAGACUGAACCGUAAGCUCCAGAAUCUUACAACUUGGUACAUUUGAUCACCAUAAAAGGAAGAUGCUUAUUGUUUUUUAAGGUCAAGGUUGUAGGUUCACUUAAUAGGAAAACCUUGUUUGAGAAAAUUACAGAUUCUUGAACUGAGUAUUUUGAGGAAACAUUACAUAGAAAGUACAUGAUUUGUCAAAUUUCUCCCAAUAUUCAACUGAGAACCUUAUUCUGCAGAGUAUUUGUAUGGGUAUGGAAAAUGUGUAUGUGGCUAUGAUUUUGAUUUUUGUUUAAUUUUUUUUUUUUUUUUGAAAAUUACAGGUUUAACCGAGUCAGUUUUUGAGGAAAUAUACAUGUAUUAAAUAAAUGACGGUUUGACCUUUUAACUCCUCUCACAGUUUUGAAGCUAGGGUCUUUAUAAAUAACUUCUUUGGUGUGUUAGAAUAUUUACAGAUUGUUGAUCAUGGUCAAUUUUGGGGAAAUAUUUUCCGCAGAGCUCUAGUUGUCUAUCUACCGGCCUCCUGUCACUUUUAAGUUUAGGAGCUUUUAUUCAUGGAAAGAAAGUAUGUGACAGCCUGAUGAUGGCUGAUACUAUUUAAAGCCUUUUUAUACGCCCGUCUUAAGACGGGACGUAUUAUGGUAUGGCGUUCAUGCCCGUCCGUCUGUUAGCUUUUUCGUGUCCGACCCGUAACUUAAAUACUACAAGGCCUAGAAUCAUCAAACUUUGUCUGUAGAUACAUCUUGGGUAGAAGGUGUGUCGCACAUUAAAACCAGGUCACUGUGACUUUUCAUUAAGAAGAUAUGGCCAUAUAUGGCAAAAACUUGUCCGGCUCAUAACUUGAAAACUAUUAGACCUAGAAUCACCAAAAUUGGUCAACUAAUGCAUCUUAGGUAGAAGGUGUGUCGCAUCCUACUUUAAUGUCACUGUGACAUUUAAUUAAGGUGAUAUAAAUAAAAAUGUUUUAAUGGGUACAAUCUAUACUGUUAACAAUAUGUGACGGGCGUAUCAUGUGCCGUGGCGGUGCACUUUAUUCUAGAAAUGGCAUCAGAAAAACACCCUAUGUAACCUUUUCUGCUUGUACUCAUUUAUUUUUAUUGGAAAACUUAUUACUUGUUAUCAGCUACUCUAAAACAAUAUUGACUUGUGCUAUAAUAAAUUUGUAAACUUUA
Long non-coding RNA from Ostrea edulis (European flat oyster), 3537 nucleotides. RefSeq lists it as uncharacterized. The record is from RefSeq and is a predicted model, not a curated record. Lineage: Eukaryota; Metazoa; Mollusca; Bivalvia; Ostreida; Ostreidae. The transcript has 6 exons.